Molecule: long non-coding RNA, 1366 nt
Organism: Drosophila miranda
Lineage: Eukaryota; Metazoa; Arthropoda; Insecta; Diptera; Drosophilidae
Exons: 4
Source: RefSeq, a predicted model, not a curated record
GCUAGUGUCGUAAAACUAAAUAAAAAGUGUGUUUGUCUUCCAUCGGAACAGCUGAGCCCGGGUCCCAAAAACGCCGGCAAACGUGCCGGAGAGACUCGGAGAGCGGUCCGGUCCCAGCGGACAGAUAAGGCCCACAGCACGAGUACGAGUACGAGUACGAGAGUACGGCGCUUGUUGCUAUCAGCAUUAAUUAGCGUAGCUUCGCAGAUCGUUUGCAGAUCAGAUCGAUCGUACACAGACCAGGUCUCCCCGUAGGUAUAUGUACAUAUAUAGUACUUGUUCACUUGUUCAGACGCCGUGUAAGCAGAAGUUUGUUUAUUUUCUUGCUAAACAUUUGGCUGAUCGGGUGUAGGCCUAGGGUAGGGCUCUGGAGAACCUGUGCUGCCGCUUAGGGAUCGAACACGCGCGUGGUCCUAGGUCUAGGCAAGAUAUAUUGCGCUCGUGAGAACUUAAUAAAACCAUAAAAGAUACAGCUGCCGACUGAAAGAUACCCUUAGAGCUAUCUAGUCUCUUAGUUGAUCACUCGCUCUCUCCGACGCAACAUACCCUAGCAGCCAGCACAUCACUGGGUAUCACAAAUCGGAUACAAAUAUUCAAAGGCGGAAAUAUAUUUAACCAAAGCGAGGAGAGAAAUUUGCCGCUCAGUUGUCGAAGCCCCUCGGCAGAUAUUCGAUUUCACCACGAACCGGAGGGCGUGUGGCCAUAAUGCGAUUAGAUGUUGUAUUUAUAGAUGUCAGAUUUCGGACUGCGUUCGGCUUAUGGAACUGCUGCACCGCACCCAUUCGAGUUCGAUGAUAAAGUGAUGAUGCCCCAAGGUUCCGAAAUUGCUUUCAAAUAGAUUCCAAGCCCCGAGAAACCACUUUUGACUUCUGAAUUCAGGCAAAAGAGUUUAGCAUAUGAAUAAAGACGCACCGCAUCGCCCCGCCCCGUCCCCAAAAGAUCCAAAAGACCCAUCGGAUCCCCAAUUUAUAUGCAAAGCGACAAUGUGUGGAGAUAAUGCCUGCCCUGCUGCGAUGAUCCAGCAUUUGCCUUGGGGAUGGGAAUGAGAGUGAUGAUGCCACCAUCAUAUCAUUCGAGAGGGCGAAAUAAUUAAACGAGUAUCGUAAAGCUAAAAUAUAAUGGAUUUAUGUAAAGUUAUGUUACACGCUCUGGCUGGAAAUGGACACAGAUGCGAUAAGCCGGCUCACAACAAAUGGCAGCAAAUAAAUAAAAAAUCAUUAAGAGAGUCGGUUGUCUGUCCUAUUAUGGUUGGACCACAGACUAAACACCGAAUAAAGCAUUGAGAUAGGCCCAAACAGAAUCGAGCUGAAAAGAAACCCGCUUAGGGGCGGUUCUGCCUUUUGAUGUAAGCCCACAAAUCAGUUAA